This 1191-nucleotide non-coding RNA is filed under the name Actinotalea ferrariae CF5-4. RNAcentral describes it as "Cellulomonas sp. Mn5-4 Bacterial small subunit ribosomal RNA". It matches the Rfam family "Bacterial small subunit ribosomal RNA", at positions 331 to 1533 of the family's 1533-position model. The record is from Rfam by way of RNAcentral. Lineage: Bacteria; Bacillati; Actinomycetota; Actinomycetes; Micrococcales; Cellulomonadaceae.
CCAGACUCCUACGGGAGGCAGCAGUGGGGAAUAUUGCACAAUGGGCGAAAGCCUGAUGCAGCGACGCCGCGUGGGGGAUGAAGGCCUUCGGGUUGUAAACCCCUUUCAGCAGGGAAGAAGCGAAAGUGACGGUACCUGCAGAAGAAGCGCCGGCUAACUACGUGCCAGCAGCCGCGGUAAUACGUAGGGCGCAAGCGUUGUCCGGAAUUAUUGGGCGUAAAGAGCUCGUAGGCGGUUUGUCGCGUCUGCUGUGAAAACCCGAGGCUCAACCUCGGGCCUGCAGUGGGUACGGGCAGACUAGAGUGCGGUAGGGGAGACUGGAAUUCCUGGUGUAGCGGUGGAAUGCGCAGAUAUCAGGAGGAACACCGAUGGCGAAGGCAGGUCUCUGGGCCGCAACUGACGCUGAGGAGCGAAAGCAUGGGGAGCGAACAGGAUUAGAUACCCUGGUAGUCCAUGCCGUAAACGUUGGGCACUAGGUGUGGGGCUCAUUCCACGAGUUCCGUGCCGCAGCAAACGCAUUAAGUGCCCCGCCUGGGGAGUACGGCCGCAAGGCUAAAACUCAAAGGAAUUGACGGGGGCCCGCACAAGCGGCGGAGCAUGCGGAUUAAUUCGAUGCAACGCGAAGAACCUUACCAAGGCUUGACAUAUACCGAAAACUCAUGGAGACAUGGGGUCCGCAAGGGCGGUAUACAGGUGGUGCAUGGUUGUCGUCAGCUCGUGUCGUGAGAUGUUGGGUUAAGUCCCGCAACGAGCGCAACCCUCGUCCUAUGUUGCCAGCACAUCAUGGUGGGGACUCAUAGGAGACUGCCGGGGUCAACUCGGAGGAAGGUGGGGAUGACGUCAAAUCAUCAUGCCCCUUAUGUCUUGGGCUUCACGCAUGCUACAAUGGCCGGUACAAAGGGCUGCGAUACCGCGAGGUGGAGCGAAUCCCAAAAAGCCGGUCUCAGUUCGGAUUGGGGUCUGCAACUCGACCCCAUGAAGUCGGAGUCGCUAGUAAUCGCAGAUCAGCAACGCUGCGGUGAAUACGUUCCCGGGCCUUGUACACACCGCCCGUCAAGUCACGAAAGUCGGUAACACCCGAAGCCGGUGGCCCAACCCUUGUGGAGGGAGCCGUCGAAGGUGGGACCAGCGAUUGGGACUAAGUCGUAACAAGGUAGCCGUACCGGAAGGUGCGGCUGGAUCACCUCCUUU